AACCAUUUGAAAACUUAUAAAUUGAAUUGUGGUUAGGUAGAAAAAGGACAUAUAUAUACUUCACAAAAUAAUAAUGAUAAAACUUAGAUCCAAAGCAAAUAUGUUAUCUUUCCGCCUCUACCUUCACAAAGUCAAAAGUCAAUCCCAAGUAAGUCUCAAAAGACAACCCCAAGUAAAUCUUACCCCUAUAUUUCUAAUUGUCUGCAGCAAGUCGCCUUCAUUGAUGCUGCUAAAGGCUUCCAAGAGCUCCUUAAGAAUAGGGGCUGCUUCUCUUUUCGAUCGGUGAUUCUCUUGUUCGUCUUUUGGUUGCCGGCUGGAAGAUGAAUUGGUCGACCUCUUUUCCUCGGCUGCUCAGAAGAUUCUCCAGACAUGCUUUGGAUGUGAUGAAAUAAGCAAUAGACAGGAUGAAGAAACAAGAAGUUGACAGAAUGAAGAAACAAGACGUUGAAACUUUAAUCAACCGACGUGAUUUACAUGAGACUAAGCUCUGGAGUUUAGAAUAAAAAGUGGUAACUGUUAACUAACUAUACUAACUACUAACGACCAACUGCUAACAGUUACAAGGAUAGACCAAGAAGCUUUAACACCACCAUUUAGCCUUUAGCUUUAGCUGCUAUGAAUCACAAUGUAAUAAGCUCUGGAUUUUUUUUUAUUUCCUGCUCUCUCUUUUUUAAUCUAUACUACUCUUACUUGUUA
Molecule: long non-coding RNA, 696 nt
Organism: Gossypium arboreum
Lineage: Eukaryota; Viridiplantae; Streptophyta; Magnoliopsida; Malvales; Malvaceae
Exons: 2
Source: RefSeq, a predicted model, not a curated record